RNAcentral lists this long non-coding RNA (225 nucleotides) under Elaeis guineensis (African oil palm). RNAcentral describes it as "long non-coding RNA (EGUI_LNC066557)". The record is from RNAcentral. Lineage: Eukaryota; Viridiplantae; Streptophyta; Magnoliopsida; Arecales; Arecaceae.
UGGGGAUUCACUUUUUUGAGAAGAUGAUGGUGAUUAGUCUGUUCAUUUCUGAUUUUCUCCUCCAAUUUUAUUAGAUGAUUUGGAUGCUAGGGUUUUCAGUUCCAUCUCUAUUAAUACAAAGAAAUUUCACACUUUGAUCAAUCGAAUGGUGUGAUUUCAAUUACUAUGAGAUUAUUUAUUUUUUCUUUUUCUUUUCUUUUUAAACGGGGGUUUUUCCUGUCGAUU